This 568-nucleotide ribosomal RNA is filed under the name uncultured bacterium. RNAcentral's name for it is "bacterial SSU rRNA". It matches the Rfam family "Bacterial small subunit ribosomal RNA", at positions 64 to 600 of the family's 1533-position model. The record is from RNAcentral.
CGACGAACUUCUUUAUCACCGAGUGCUUGCACUCACCGAUAAAGAGUUGAGUGGCGAACGGGUGAGUAACACGUGGGCAACCUGCCCAAAAGAGGGGGAUAACACUUGGAAACAGGUGCUAAUACCGCAUAACCAUAGUUACCGCAUGGUAACUAUGUAAAAGGUGGCUAUGCUACCGCUUUUGGAUGGGCCCGCGGCGCAUUAGCUAGUUGGUGGGGUAAAGGCUUACCAAGGCAAUGAUGCGUAGCCGAACUGAGAGGUUGAUCGGCCACAUUGGGACUGAGACACGGCCCAAACUCCUACGGGAGGCAGCAGUAGGGAAUCUUCCACAAUGGGCGAAAGCCUGAUGGAGCAACGCCGCGUGGGUGAAGAAGGUCUUCGGAUCGUAAAACCCUGUUGUUAGAGAAGAAAGUGCGUGAGAGUAACUGUUCACGUUUCGACGGUAUCUAACCAGAAAGCCACGGCUAACUACGUGCCAUCAGCCGCGGUAAUACGUAGGUGGCAAGCGUUAUCCGGAUUUAUUGGGCGUAAAGGGAACGCAAGCGGUCUUUUAAGUCUGAUGUGAAAG